This 495-nucleotide ribosomal RNA is filed under the name uncultured bacterium. RNAcentral describes it as "partial 16S ribosomal RNA". It matches the Rfam family "Bacterial small subunit ribosomal RNA", at positions 28 to 507 of the family's 1533-position model. The record is from RNAcentral.
GACGAACGCUGGCGGCGUGCCUAAUACAUGCAAGUAGAACGCUGAAGGAGGAGCUUGCUUCUCUGGAUGAGUUGCGAACGGGUGAGUAACGCGUAGGUAACCUGCCUGGUAUCGGGGGAUAACUAUUGGAAACGAUAGCUAAUACCGCAUAAUAGUAGAUGUUGCAUGACAUUUGCUUAAAAGGUGCACUUUCAUCACUACCAGAUGGACCUGCGUUGUAUUAGCUAGUUGGUGAGGUAACGGCUCACCAAGGCAACGAUACAUAGCCGACCUGAGAGGGUGAUCGGCCACACUGGGACUGGGACACGGCCCAGACUCCUACGGGAGGCAGCAGUAGGGAAUCUUCGGCAAUGGACGGAAGUCUGACCGAGCAACGCCGCGUGAGUGAAGAAGGUUUUCGGAUCGUAAAGCUCUGUUGUAAGAGAAGAACGAGUGUGAGAGUGGAAAGUUCACACUGUGACGGUAUCUUACCAGAAAGGGACGGCUAACUACGUG